CUUUUUUUUUAAAAUUCUGAUAGUGAUAGUUGAUGAAGCCAAUCCUGCAUGUUCUUUUUGUUCUCUCCCUGCUCUAUUGACUUUGUGGUCCUGCCUUGCUGGUGACAGAUCUGUUCCCAUAGUUCUCCAGAGGGACAGUAGAGUUAGGGACAGAGAGUAGAACGGUAAUGCAUAGGAAAAGCUAGAAGAUGCCUGGUGCUACCACAGGUACGUGAAAGUAUUCAAACAUCCAACAGACGAACCACAGAAACACAUCCUAUCCUUCUGUGUUGAGGAACUGGUAGCUAUGAUAUGAAGAUUGGCUUAAUUGAAGGUCCUAUCCCUCACUGUCUGGAGGAAACUAUCCUGGUAAAGGUCAGGAGGUAGAAAACUCUUAAUCUUACUCUGUGUUUAUGACUUUGCCAUUGUUAUCUACUUCUGUGGAGCAUUUAGAACAUCUAACAAUGUCCCCGGACUCUUUCAGAUUAAUACCUGUUUCCUUACAAGGACUGUCUGCUGCACUUCUGCAUUAACUUCGGUAUAGUUUAUCUGAGUAGCUGCCUUCAGCUGUGCUGCUGAACUCUUUAACCAAGACCUGAAGAUAGGAAGAGUAACAGAGGACUUGCAUUUUCAGAAGUUUUCUCUGGGAGUGAGUUGGUAUAAGGAUACCCCAUCUGUAAGGACCCCCUGUGAGAUACUUUGCUGUAGACAUGCAUACAUCGGAGGGAUGCAGAAUCUGACGUGAGUUCUUGGAAUGGAAGACCAGACAUCAGCGCUGCGCAUGGCAAGGAGGAGCUCACAUUGUCCUGUCUGCAGUGGUUAUCCAGCAGUCUUGCAGAGAAGGAACAGUGCACUCAGCAUCCAAGGGUGGUUCCCACUGUCUUCAAAAGGAGGAGAUCCCCAAACAACCUCUAACUUCUGCUUUACCAAGAGACACGUCUGCCGCAGUGUUCCUCCACUUUGACCCUAGACCAAACUUGGAAAUGCCUUGGUGUAUCCUUCACUGACAAAAACGCAGAGAAGGAGACCAAUUGGCUGUCCCAUCAUAUCUGCUUUCUUGGGAGGUGAGGAAGCAACCAUGGAAGAGAUGAGACCUGGGGGUCUUUGGAAGAUGGCAGCUGUCAUGCACUGGCGUGAUAAAUAUGAUCCCACGUCACUGGCGCGUCCAGAGUCAGCUACCAUAGAUGGUUUGAGUGAAGUCCUGCAGGGUUAUACAAUAAGGUGAGUAUGGAAUUCCCUCCAAAACAUAAUACAGGCUUCCAUAUCUCAGUGACCCUGCUAGUCCAUCUCUUUCUCUCCUCUUUCCAUGGGAUCUAAAUCCAGUUUCACAGCCAUUGUUUUUCCACUAUACCUCCCAAGGACUUUCCUUUUCCAAGAAUAAGAUCUGGUUGUGUCUCAGAACUAAGUUUUGUUCUGUUUUUUGGGUCACAUAGUUCAAUUUUCCUUACACUACUGAGAAGCAUUAAGAUGGCUCUCUUAUUAGUGCCUUUUUUUGCA
This 1476-nucleotide long non-coding RNA is filed under the name Calidris pugnax (ruff). Its description in RNAcentral is "lncRNA (ENSCPUG00000005307.1)". The record is from RNAcentral. Lineage: Eukaryota; Metazoa; Chordata; Aves; Charadriiformes; Scolopacidae.